CGUGUGUGAAGAAGGCUGCGGGUUGUAAAGCACUUUCGGUAGGGACGAAAAGCCAAGGGCUAAUAUCCUUUGGUCUUGACUUAACCUAAAGAAGAAGCACCGGCUAACUCCGUGCCAGCAGCCGCGGUAAUACGGGGGGUGCAAGCGUUAAUCGGAAUUACUGGGCGUAAAGAGCACGUAGGCGGUUAUGUAAGUCGGAUGUGAAAGCCCAGGGCUUAACCUUGGAAUUGCAUUCGAAACUGCAUGGCUAGAGUUUGGUAGAGGCUAGCGGAAUUCCAGGUGUAGCGGUGAAAUGCGUAGAUAUCUGGAGGAACAUCAGUGGCGAAGCGGCUGGCUGGACCAAAACUGACGCUGAGGUGCGAAAGCGUGGGGACAAACAGGAUUAAUACCUGGUAGUCCCGCCGUAAACGAUG
RNAcentral lists this ribosomal RNA (413 nucleotides) under uncultured bacterium. Its description in RNAcentral is "bacterial SSU rRNA". It matches the Rfam family "Bacterial small subunit ribosomal RNA", at positions 400 to 811 of the family's 1533-position model. The record is from RNAcentral.